This 292-nucleotide ribosomal RNA is filed under the name uncultured Planctomycetota bacterium. RNAcentral's name for it is "uncultured planctomycete partial 16S ribosomal RNA". Lineage: Bacteria; Pseudomonadati; Planctomycetota. The record is from RNAcentral.
GGACUACCGGGGUAUCUAAUCCCGUUUGCUCCCCUAGCUUUCGCGCCUCAGCGUCAGAAGAGGUCCAGCGCGCCGCUUUCGCCACCGGAGUUCCUGUAGAUAUCAACGCAUUUCACCGCUCCACCUACAGUUCCGCACGCCCCUACCUCCCUCGAGGCCGUCAGUAUCUAAGGCAGUUCCACGGUUGAGCCGCGGCAUUUCACCCCAGACUUGACAGCCCGCCUACGCGCCCUUUAAGCCCAGUGAUUCCGAACAACGUUCGCACGGUUCGUCUUACCGCGGCUGCUGGCAC